ACUUGGGCGCUGCUAUAAUGCAGUCGAGCGAUGGAUUAAGAGCUUGCUCUUAUGAAGUUAGCGGCGGACGGGUGAGUAACACGUGGGUAACCUGCCCAUAAGACUGGGAUAACUCCGGGAAACCGGGGCUAAUACCGGAUAACAUUUUGAACCGCAUGGUUCGAAAUUGAAAGGCGGCUUCGGCUGUCACUUAUGGAUGGACCCGCGUCGCAUUAGCUAGUUGGUGAGGUAACGGCUCACCAAGGCAACGAUGCGUAGCCGACCUGAGAGGGUGAUCGGCCACACUGGGACUGAGACACGGCCCAGACUCCUACGGGAGGCAGCAGUAGGGAAUCUUCCGCAAUGGACGAAAGUCUGACGGAGCAACGCCGCGUGAGUGAUGAAGGCUUUCGGGUCGUAAAACUCUGUUGUUAGGGAAGAACAAGUGCUAGUUGAAUAAGCUGGCACCUUGACGGUACCUAACCAGAAAGCCACGGCUAACUACGUGCCAGCAGCCGCGGUAAUACGUAGGUGGCAAGCGUUAUCCGGAAUUAUUGGGCGUAAAGCGCGCGCAGGUGGUUUCUUAAGUCUGAUGUGAAAGCCCACGGCUCAACCGUGGAGGGUCAUUGGAAACUGGGAGACUUGAGUGCAGAAGAGGAAAGUGGAAUUCCAUGUGUAGCGGUGAAAUGCGUAGAGAUAUGGAGGAACACCAGUGGCGAAGGCGACUUUCUGGUCUGUAACUGACACUGAGGCGCGAAAGCGUGGGGAGCAAACAGGAUUUAGAUACCCUGGUAGUCCACGCCGUAAACGAUGAGUGCUAAGUGUUAGAGGGUUUCCGCCCUUUAGUGCUGAAGUUAACCGCAUUAAGCACUCCGCCUGGGGGAGUACGGCCGCAAGGCUGAAACUCAAAGGAAUUGACGGGGGCCCGCACAAGCGGUGGAGCAUGUGGUUUUAAUUCGAAGCAACGCGAAGAACUUACCAGGUC
Molecule: ribosomal RNA, 964 nt
Filed under: Bacillus cereus
Lineage: Bacteria; Bacillati; Bacillota; Bacilli; Caryophanales; Bacillaceae
Description: bacterial SSU rRNA
Rfam family: Bacterial small subunit ribosomal RNA
Source: RNAcentral